RNAcentral lists this ribosomal RNA (298 nucleotides) under Amaricoccus sp. HAR-UPW-R2A-40. RNAcentral's name for it is "Bacterial small subunit ribosomal RNA". It matches the Rfam family "Bacterial small subunit ribosomal RNA", at positions 197 to 516 of the family's 1533-position model. The record is from Rfam by way of RNAcentral. Lineage: Bacteria; Pseudomonadati; Pseudomonadota; Alphaproteobacteria; Rhodobacterales; Paracoccaceae.
AAGGGGAAAGAUUUAUCGGAGGAGGAUCGGCCCGCGUUGGAUUAGGUAGUUGGUGAGGUAACGGCUCACCAAGCCGACGAUCCAUAGCUGGUUGAGAGGAUGAUCAGCCACACUGGGACUGAGACACGGCCCAGACUCCUACGGGAGGCAGCAGUGGGGAAUCUUGGACAAUGGGGGAAACCCUGAUCCAGCCAUGCCGCGUGAUCGAUGAAGGCCUUAGGGUUGUAAAGAUCUUUCAGCUGGGAAGAUAAUGACGGUACCAGCAGAAGAAGCCCCGGCUAACUCCGUGCCAGCAGCC